Molecule: unclassified non-coding RNA, 336 nt
Filed under: soil metagenome
Description: partial contains 5.8S ribosomal RNA, internal transcribed spacer 2, and large subunit ribosomal RNA
Rfam family: 5.8S ribosomal RNA (bases 1-120)
Source: RNAcentral
GAUGAAGAACGUAGCGAGAUGCGAUAAGUAAUGUGAAUUGCAGAAUUCAGUGAAUCAUCGAAUCUUUGAACGCACAUUGCGCCCGCCAGUAUUCUGGCGGGCAUGCCUGUUCGAGCGUCAUUUCAACCAUCAAGCCCCAGGCUUGUGUUGGGGACCUGCGGCUGCCGCAGGCCCUGAAAACCAGUGGCGGGCUCGCUGUCACACCGGGCGUAGUAGAUUUUAUCUCGCUCAGGGCGUGCUGCGGGUUCCGGCCGUUAAAAAGCCUUUUUUACCCAAGGUUGACCUCGGAUCAGGUAGGAAGACCCGCUGAACUUAAGCAUAUCAAUAAGCGGAGGA